GCGUAAUUUGAAAGGAAGUGCUCCGUAGAAUAGGAAUGUUUUUGUUUAUGUAUACAUUUCUUUGUCUAGUAACGUGUAAUCGUUAACUGCGUAGCUACUUGUGCCACCGGCUUGUGUGCCCCCCCUUCCCUCGCGACUAUGGAAGUUGCUCUGCGAAACUAAGGUACAAGGAGUCAUUUAGUCGUCUCAUUUCGUACCGAUAACAUGGAUAGCGUCGCGUCAGAGUCAGUGCAUCAAGAGGACAAAGCCUCUGCAGGAGCUCAAGAAUACAUAUUACAGCUUGAACUUCUUUGUCUUCUUUGGGAAUGCUCCAACGGUGGCUCAAAAGCCAAGAAUGUUAGGGUUUUCUAAG
This is a long non-coding RNA of Bombus impatiens (common eastern bumble bee), 352 nucleotides long. RefSeq lists it as uncharacterized. Lineage: Eukaryota; Metazoa; Arthropoda; Insecta; Hymenoptera; Apidae. The transcript is spliced from 4 exons. The record is from RefSeq and is a predicted model, not a curated record.